Molecule: transfer RNA, 74 nt
Filed under: Camelus bactrianus (Bactrian camel)
Lineage: Eukaryota; Metazoa; Chordata; Mammalia; Artiodactyla; Camelidae
Also listed under: 1 other name
Rfam family: tRNA
About the family: Transfer RNA (tRNA) molecules are approximately 80 nucleotides in length. Their secondary structure includes four short double-helical elements and three loops (D, anti-codon, and T loops).
Source: Rfam by way of RNAcentral
GAGGGUAUGGCUUAAGUGGUAGAGCAGAUGCUUAGCAUGCAUGAUGUCCUGGGUUCAAUCCCCAAGUACCUCCU